AAUUGAGGCAUUAUUUUAAUGCAGAUAUAAUAAAUCUGCACUAUUUGGAAUUAAAAAAGAAUGUGUGAAAUCACUGAUAUUACUGCAGUGAUACCAACCGGUUUCUUCAGUUAACUGUGCAAUCGAUCGCUAUAUGGAACAGAAGAUCAAUAUCCUGCAAGUAUAGAAGCCACAUAUGGAGUUUCUUAAUGGAGAUAAAACACCAACAUUUGCUAUACAUUUGACUUAAAUCUAGAGAUGGGUGGAGGAGAAGAGACAGGUAUGUGAGGUACUCUGCAUACAUUUCUUUUAAUAAGACUUCUCUCUCUUUUUUUUUCUUUUUUUUUUUUUUUGCCUUAAGGAAUUAAAUUUCUACUUUGGAUAUCACAUUCUGGCAGAGGGGAAGAGUUAUCUUUUGUAGGAACACAAAGUAAUCAUGGACAAAUUAUGGACAAAAUAAUAUUAACAGGAGACAGAGACAUUCCAAGUAGCCAAGUUAAACAUCUUAAAUCAGCAUUAAGGGAAAUGAAGGACAAAUGAGGCUCAGGGAUGCCACUUCCUUUGAAUGGGAUGAAUCACACUAUGAGGGAUCUUCGGCUUGGGAGACCACCUUACUCCCCUAUUGGAGAACCAGGCAUAAGCAGGAAGAUCACAGUGGCACACCUCCAGCAAAUGUCCUCCAGAGGCAUUGUGCCCUGAUGGGAGGUGGCUGCAUGCAGAUAGCAGGGACGUAUCUCAAGACAACGGGGCACAGGAAUCCAUCCCCUGAGAACUGGAUGUGCAAGCAUGAAGUAGUGGAGACCCUGCCUAUUACCUUGCUGGGAUAGGCAGGGAGACAGAGCUGACGAAGAUGCCUAUGGCAAUGUAACCAAGUCCUAUUCUCAGACAUCAGUAAUGGGUAAACUUCAUGUGUAAUUUUCCAAUUAUAUUUUAAACCCAUUUGGUGACAGUGAAAUUUCUCAAAUCAACAAACUUCUAUAAAAACUACAGGAAAGUUCUCCCAGUAAAAUCUUCUAAUCUUGAGUGUUGUUUGGUGCUUUUUCUUUGUUUUUUUUUUCUUCGUUUUAAAAAUAAUUUUAUUUUAAGAGCAUGUGUUGAUAAAUUCAAAACUCCAUGGUGACUUCACAACAGUUCUAAUUUAGGGCCACUUAUCAUAACUUCAGUCCAUCAAGAGCACAUCUCUAUUCUUUCAUCUUUCCAUCAUCUUCCACUGUCCACGUCCAUCAAGUGGCCAUCGCUUGUUGUCGAUAAUGAAGCCUUCUCCUCCUAAUUUGCUGUUUCUCUAUUCUGUUGCAGCUAGUUGCAGUUGCUGAUGCCAGAUCCCACCAGGCACUCCUCAGCUUCCUUAAAAACUCAUUCUCGUCCGCAUAUUACAGGCCAUUUCCCCUUCAGUAUGAGCCUGCAGACCCACAGCAUCAUUCCAGACUGUGGGACCUAUCCUCAGCGUUAAAAAUUGCUUAGUAAAACUGCGCAGCAGCCGCAGAAACUAAACACGCACGCUUUUUGUUACAAGUGUGAAACCUGUCACUACGCGGCUGAGAGAUGUCACCGUGCUAGCUGUGGGCGAUGCCCCGCCGUUCCUGAACUCACUCCCGCACCGAACCCAGCAGCGCGGCGGGCACCGCACAGCUCCGCCGUCCCUCCCGCGCUGGUUUCCCAGCCGGCCUG
Long non-coding RNA from Chloebia gouldiae (Gouldian finch), 1647 nucleotides. NCBI's taxonomy places the organism in Eukaryota, Metazoa, Chordata, Aves, Passeriformes, Passeridae. The record is from Ensembl.